RNAcentral lists this long non-coding RNA (233 nucleotides) under Elaeis guineensis (African oil palm). RNAcentral's name for it is "long non-coding RNA (EGUI_LNC069594)". Lineage: Eukaryota; Viridiplantae; Streptophyta; Magnoliopsida; Arecales; Arecaceae. The record is from RNAcentral.
GUGCCCCCGCAGCCCAAUUAGGAACAGAAGGAGGACCUCGUCCGAAUCUGAGCUGAAAUCGAUUACAUCAGAAAUAGGGGAAGGACCUCAUCCUGACACCAAUUAAGGUCUAAUCAUUCAAGACCAGAUAAGAGAAAGGGAACCUCCUCAGUGGCCCCUCCAUGCUCCCACGAUCCCAUUAAGAGCAGAGGAAAAAUCCUUACUCGAGAAAAGAAAAGAAAAAGAGGAGGGGG